GGAUUGUAGCUCAGUGGUAGAGCACUUGCCUUGUACACACAAGGUCCUGGGUUUGAUCCUCAGCACCA
RNAcentral lists this transfer RNA (68 nucleotides) under Marmota monax (woodchuck). RNAcentral describes it as "tRNA.Thr". The stretch from base 5 to 65 matches the Rfam family "tRNA", at positions 6 to 65 of the family's 71-position model. From Rfam's summary of the family: Transfer RNA (tRNA) molecules are approximately 80 nucleotides in length. Lineage: Eukaryota; Metazoa; Chordata; Mammalia; Rodentia; Sciuridae. The record is from RNAcentral.